UGAUUAGUGGCGACGGGUGAGUAACACGUGGGCAAUCUGCCCUUCACUCUGGGACAAGCCCUGGAAACGGGGUCUAAUACCGGAUACCACUCCUGCCUGCAUGGGCGGGGGUUGAAAGCUCCGGCGGUGAAGGAUGAGCCCGCGGCCUAUCAGCUUGUUGGUGGGGUAAUGGCCCACCAAGGCGACGACGGGUAGCCGGCCUGAGAGGGCGACCGGCCACACUGGGACUGAGACACGGCCCAGACUCCUACGGGAGGCAGCAGUGGGGAAUAUUGCACAAUGGGCGAAAGCCUGAUGCAGCGACGCCGCGUGAGGGAUGACGGCCUUCGGGUUGUAAACCUCUUUCAGCAGGGAAGAAGCGAAAGUGACGGUACCUGCAGAAGAAGCGCCGGCUAACUACGUGCCAGCAGCCGCGGUAAUACGUAGGGCGCAAGCGUUGUCCGGAAUUAUUGGGCGUAAAGAGCUCGUAGGCGGCUUGUCACGUCGGAUGUGAAAGCCCGAGGCUUAACCUCGGGUCUGCAUUCGAUACGGGCUAGCUAGAGUGUGGUAGGGGAGAUCGGAAUUCCUGGUGUAGCGGUGAAAUGCGCAGAUAUCAGGAGGAACACCGGUGGCGAAGGCGGAUCUCUGGGCCAUUACUGACGCUGAGGAGCGAAAGCGUGGGGAGCGAACAGGAUUAGAUACCCUGGUAGUCCACGCCGUAAACGUUGGGAACUAGGUGUUGGCGACAUUCCACGUCGUCGGUGCCGCAGCUAACGCAUUAAGUUCCCCGCCUGGGGGAGUACGGCCGCAAGCUAAACUCAAGGAUUGACGGGGGCCCGCACAGCGGCGGAGCAUGGUGGCUUA
RNAcentral lists this ribosomal RNA (843 nucleotides) under Streptomyces sp. RNAcentral describes it as "bacterial SSU rRNA". It matches the Rfam family "Bacterial small subunit ribosomal RNA", at positions 89 to 948 of the family's 1533-position model. Lineage: Bacteria; Bacillati; Actinomycetota; Actinomycetes; Kitasatosporales; Streptomycetaceae. The record is from RNAcentral.